RNAcentral lists this ribosomal RNA (155 nucleotides) under uncultured bacterium. RNAcentral describes it as "partial 16S ribosomal RNA". It matches the Rfam family "Bacterial small subunit ribosomal RNA", at positions 342 to 518 of the family's 1533-position model. The record is from RNAcentral.
UGGGGGGGCGCAAUAUUUGCGGCAAUGGGCGAAAGCCUGAUGCAGCCACGCCGCGUGCGGGAUGAAGGCCUUCGGGUUGUAAACCUCUUUUCUUGGGGACGAAGAAGGACGGUCCCUCCCGACUAAGUCUCGGCUAACUCCCUGCCUGCCGCCCC